GGCCGCGUGGUGUAAUGGUUGCACACUCUCACAAACAUCACUCAUUAUUCUUACUACUUCUCUUCCUGUUGAGAGAGGGGCGGGUUCGAUUCCUGCCGCGGCCA
Non-coding RNA from Diatrype stigma, 104 nucleotides. The record is from the annotation of a GenBank genome assembly. Lineage: Eukaryota; Fungi; Ascomycota; Sordariomycetes; Xylariales; Diatrypaceae.